GGAGCACCGCAACCUGAGGAUUGUGCGGUUUAAUUGGAUUCAACGCCGGAAAACUCACCAUAGCCGACGGACAUAUGAAGGUCAGUGUAAUGAACUUACCCGAUUGUUCGAGAGGUAGUGCAUGGCCGCCGUCAGUUCGUACCGCAAGGCGUUCUGUUAAGUCAGAUAACGAACGAGACCCUCAUCUCUAUUUGCUAACUAGAUCUCCGGAUUUAGUGCACUAUAGAGAGACCGCUGGCGCUAAGUCAGAGGAAGGGGAGGGCAACGGUAGGUCAGUAUGCUCCGAAUGCUAUGGGCUACACGCGCAAUACAAAGGACGGGACAAUGGGCUGCUGCUCCGAAAGGAACGAUAGCUAUCCCGAAACCCGUUCGUAGUUCGGAUUGAGGGCUGUAACUCGCCCUCAUGAAGCUGGAUUAGGUAGUAAUCGCGUCUCAAAAAGGCGCGGUGAAUAUGCCCCUGCUCCUUGCACACACCGCCCGUCAAACCAUCUUAGUUGUGGGUGGGUGAGGCUACCUCUCAAUGGGGUAUUCGAGCCUGCCUUCGACGAGGAGGGUUAAGUCGUAACAAGGUAUCUGUAGGGGAACCUGCAGAUG
Molecule: ribosomal RNA, 594 nt
Filed under: marine metagenome
Description: bacterial SSU rRNA
Rfam family: Archaeal small subunit ribosomal RNA
Source: RNAcentral